This 254-nucleotide ribosomal RNA is filed under the name uncultured bacterium. RNAcentral's name for it is "partial 16S ribosomal RNA". It matches the Rfam family "Bacterial small subunit ribosomal RNA", at positions 524 to 776 of the family's 1533-position model. The record is from RNAcentral.
UACGGGGGGUGCGAGCGUUGUUCGGAUUUACUGGGCGUAGAGGGCGCGUAGGCGGCCACCGCAAGUCGACUGUGAAAUCUCCGGGCUUAACCCGGAAAGGUCAGCCGAUACUGCGGGGCUAGAGUGCAGAAGGGGCAACUGGAAUUCUCGGUGUAGCGGUGAAAUGCGUAGAUAUCGAGAGGAACACCUGCGGCGAAGGCGGGUUGCUGGGCUGACACUGACGCUGAUGUGCGAAAGCUAGGGGAGCGAACGGG